RNAcentral lists this ribosomal RNA (254 nucleotides) under uncultured bacterium. Its description in RNAcentral is "partial 16S ribosomal RNA". It matches the Rfam family "Bacterial small subunit ribosomal RNA", at positions 524 to 776 of the family's 1533-position model. The record is from RNAcentral.
UACGUAGGGUGCGAGCGUUGUCCGGAAUUAUUGGGCGUAAAGAGCUCGUAGGCGGUCUGUCGCGUCGGUCGUGAAAACUUGGGGCUUAACCCUGAGCUUGCGGUCGAUACGGGCAUGACUGGAGUUCGGCAGGGGAGACUGGAAUUCCUGGUGUAGCGGUGAAAUGCGCAGAUAUCAGGAGGAACACCGGUGGCGAAGGCGACAUCCUGGACCGGUAUUGACGCUGAGGCGCGAAAGCCAGGGGAGCAAACGGG